RNAcentral lists this ribosomal RNA (485 nucleotides) under uncultured bacterium. Its description in RNAcentral is "partial 16S ribosomal RNA". It matches the Rfam family "Bacterial small subunit ribosomal RNA", at positions 29 to 523 of the family's 1533-position model. The record is from RNAcentral.
AGUGAACGCUGGCGGCGUGCUUAACACAUGCGAGUCGAACGAGAACGGGAUAUAGCUUGCUAUAUUUGUCAGCUAAGUGGCGCACGGGUGAGUAAUGUAUAGAUAACCUGCCCUCUAGAAAGGAAUAACAGUUGGAAACGACUGCUAAUGCCCUAUAUGCCUUUAAUACAUAAGUAUGCAAGGGAAACGCUUUAGUGCUAGAGGAUGGGUCUGUAUGGCAUCAGCUUGUUGGUGAGGUAAUGGCUCACCAAGGCUAUGACGCCUAACUGGUUUGAGAGAAUGAUCAGUCACAAUGGAACUGAGACACGGUCCGGACUCCUACGGGAGGCAGCAGUGGGGAAUAUUGCACAAUGGACGAAAGUCUGAUGCAGCAACGCCGCGUGGAGGAUGACACAUUUCGGUGCGUAAACUCCUUUUAUAUAGGAAGAUAAUGACGGUACUAUAUGAAUAAGCACCGGCUAACUCCGUGCCAGCCGCCGCCGUAA